Transfer RNA from Camelus ferus (Wild Bactrian camel), 71 nucleotides. It matches the Rfam family "tRNA". From Rfam's summary of the family: Transfer RNA (tRNA) molecules are approximately 80 nucleotides in length. Their secondary structure includes four short double-helical elements and three loops (D, anti-codon, and T loops). Further hydrogen bonds mediate the characteristic L-shaped molecular structure. tRNAs have two regions of fundamental functional importance: the anti-codon, which is responsible for specific mRNA codon recognition, and the 3' end, to which the tRNAs corresponding amino acid is attached (by aminoacyl-tRNA synthetases). tRNAs cope with the degeneracy of the genetic code in two manners: having more than one tRNA (with a specific anti-codon) for a particular amino acid; and 'wobble' base-pairing, i.e. permitting non-standard base-pairing at the 3rd anti-codon position. NCBI's taxonomy places the organism in Eukaryota, Metazoa, Chordata, Mammalia, Artiodactyla, Camelidae. The record is from Rfam.
GAGGGUAUAGCUCAGGGUAGAGUGCAUGCUUAGCAUGUAUGAGGUCCUGGGUUCAAUCCCCAGUACCUCCA